This is a non-coding RNA of Ameiurus melas (black bullhead), 73 nucleotides long. The record is from the annotation of a GenBank genome assembly. NCBI's taxonomy places the organism in Eukaryota, Metazoa, Chordata, Actinopteri, Siluriformes, Ictaluridae.
AACCAGCUAGCUCAAUCGGUAGGGCACGAGACUCUUAAUCUCAGGGUUAUGGGUUUGAGCCCACUGUUGGGUG